This 254-nucleotide ribosomal RNA is filed under the name uncultured bacterium. Its description in RNAcentral is "partial 16S ribosomal RNA". It matches the Rfam family "Bacterial small subunit ribosomal RNA", at positions 526 to 779 of the family's 1533-position model. The record is from RNAcentral.
CGGAGGAUCCAAGCGUUAUCCGGAAUCAUUGGGUUUAAAGGGUCCGUAGGCGGGAUAAUAAGUCAGUGGUGAAAGUCUGCAGCUCAACUGUAGAAUUGCCAUUGAUACUGUUAUUCUUGAGUGUUUAUGAAGUGGUUAGAAUAUGUAGUGUAGCGGUGAAAUGCAUAGAUAUUACAUAGAAUACCGAUUGCGAAGGCAGAUCACUAAUAAAAUACUGACGCUGAUGGACGAAAGCGUAGGUAGCGAACAGGAUU